This is a long non-coding RNA of Tribolium madens (black flour beetle), 1312 nucleotides long. RefSeq lists it as uncharacterized. The record is from RefSeq and is a predicted model, not a curated record. Lineage: Eukaryota; Metazoa; Arthropoda; Insecta; Coleoptera; Tenebrionidae. The transcript is spliced from 3 exons.
AAAGUAAAGUAGAUUUCAUUUAAAUUGGCAUAAUAGGUGGCUAUGGAAUUUCGUAUUUAAGUUUGUAGCCUUGCACAUGUUCCUGUUAUAACAGCUGAUGGGGUUUUUGUUUUUCUUUGAUUACUUACCUACAUUGUUUAUUGAACUGACAUGACUGACAUUUGUAUUCGUUUUUUCAGUGUUUUCGUUGUUUGUUCGUUAUUCCCACUACUUUUUCAAAUUUUAAUUAAAACUAGUUCUCUUCAGAUUUAAAGAAUUUUAGGUUAAUGGAAUCAACUAUACCAAUUUGAAUUAAGCCAAAUUACUUUAUCCUGGGCAAAACACGAUUUUUCAGGCUGCAGUACGCGAAGCUCCAUUUUGUACAGAUUUCUUUUUUCCCCUCCGAUCGCAACAACUUUACCAUUGUUUAAAAAUUUUGUCCUACAUUUUUAAUGACAAAAUCCAAACCCCUUUCGGAUGCAACUUACACGGAAAACAAAUUGUGUUUUAUCUCCGGUGUGAAUAAAACGUCUUUUAAAAUUUCUGGAAGCCACUUAUUAUCAACGAAGUCUGUAUUUUCUACAAAGCAAAUAGUGUAUGUUUUUAGUGUUAAAACUACACCUACAAAGGGAUGAAACAGGAUGUUAAACUUGUUAUCGAAAAAACUCUCUGAAAACUUCUGAAAAAGGGUUCUUUAAAAAUAAAAUUUUAACUAUCUUAACCUCACUUUUUAUAGUGACAAAUUUAGUUCCUUAAUAUGUAAAGCCUUUUUCACAUUUAAAGCGCGGUUUACACAAUCAUGGCCUACUGUUAUGCCAAUUUCAAUGAAAUGGAUUAUAGUUUUUUUUCUUUAGCUUAGGGAAUUCUAGGGAAUUCAAUCAAGCGCUUGACCCCAUCUGGCAUCACUGAAAACAGGGCAUUCUUAGUUUUAUGGGCUGAUUCAUUUAAUCAAUUUUCAAAUGCUUCAUGAAUAAAACACAGGAAAUAGACGCAACAGCUGAAAUCUUUCAGCCUUGAUUGUAAUAGAGUCCACGUGCCCACGUGGAAAUGGAAGUGACGAAAUAACUAAGCGUGUUAAAAUUUCCUAAAUACGAAGGAUACAAUUUUCAAAGCGCUAUUUCGGUACUCCACUACGGUGAAACUCUCAUGGGGCUCCAGAAUAUCAAUAAGAUGGUGUAGGGCCACACUUUGUUCUUCUUUCGUAGCUUUCGCUGUUAUAAUAUCGAGACCUUUGUACACCUACAUGAUUUUUUUUCGAUUAAUUAACAAGACGUUGAACUUGAACUGUGUAAACAUUUUCAGACAUUCAAUAAAGUCAUAAUUUAAGCGAUGA